GGAUAGAUAGUUCAACAACUAAAACGUAACACUGAAAAUGUUAAAAUGGCAUUCGCCUCCUUCCA
This 65-nucleotide transfer RNA is filed under the name Pronodularia japanensis. Its description in RNAcentral is "tRNA-Phe". It matches the Rfam family "tRNA". Rfam says of the family: Transfer RNA (tRNA) molecules are approximately 80 nucleotides in length. Their secondary structure includes four short double-helical elements and three loops (D, anti-codon, and T loops). Lineage: Eukaryota; Metazoa; Mollusca; Bivalvia; Unionida; Unionidae. The record is from RNAcentral.